UAGGGAAUCUUCGGCAAUGGACGAAAGUCUGACCGAGCAACGCCGCGUGAGUGAAGAAGGUUUUCGGAUCGUAAAACUCUGUUGUUAGAGAAGAACAAGGACGUUAGUAACUGAACGUCCCCUGACGGUAUCUAACCAGAAAGCCACGGCUAACUACGUGCCAGCAGCCGCGGUAAUACGUAGGUGGCAAGCGUUGUCCGGAUUUAUUGGGCGUAAAGCGAGCGCAGGCGGUUUCUUAAGUCUGAUGUGAAAGCCCCCGGCUCAACCGGGGAGGGUCAUUGGAAACUGGGAGACGUGAGUGCAGAAGAGGAGAGUGGAAUUCCAUGUGUAGCGGUGAAAUGCGUAGAUAUAUGGAGGAACACCAGUGGCGAAGGCGGCUCGCUGGUCUGUAACUGACGCUGAGGCUAGAAAGCGUGGGGAGCAAACAGG
This 429-nucleotide ribosomal RNA is filed under the name Gemmatimonadota bacterium. RNAcentral describes it as "Gemmatimonadetes bacterium partial 16S ribosomal RNA". It matches the Rfam family "Bacterial small subunit ribosomal RNA", at positions 355 to 776 of the family's 1533-position model. Lineage: Bacteria; Pseudomonadati; Gemmatimonadota. The record is from RNAcentral.